This 816-nucleotide long non-coding RNA is filed under the name Olea europaea (common olive). RNAcentral's name for it is "long non-coding RNA (OEUR_LNC005380)". Lineage: Eukaryota; Viridiplantae; Streptophyta; Magnoliopsida; Lamiales; Oleaceae. The record is from RNAcentral.
AUAAACUUCUCCAUCUGAAUUCAAAUUAAUACAUGCAUGGACAUACAAGUGAAUUAAAGUGAAUUAAUUAUGUAUGACAUUUGUAUAUUCUUGUCUUUUAAAUCUUUUAAAUUAUAAUUUUUCAUCAAAGGUUGGCGUAAGGAUGGCAAUUCGAAUUGCCAAAACUGAAAAUCAUGGUUAAUAGAAUUGAAUGGGGCGAAAAAAUCGAAUAGAUGGUGCAAUGGGAUGUAUAUGAUAUUUGAUUUUAGUGACCUGGUUCAAGGCAGGGCGGGUAUGGUAUUUGCGCCAUCGUCCCAUCUCGAAUCGAUUACCCGUUAAAAAAAGGGCAAUUGGGCUUUUCCAUUAUUUUUUUAUUGUAAUUUGUCUAGCCCAAAAUUUAUGGCUCAUUACUAACUUAUUAAGUAACCUAACACAGUUACCUCUUACCCACUUAGUACUAACCCUACCAUAAAGAAAAUUGGAAUCAAAUUCUACAAGACAUUAGUCGACAGCUGUCUUCCCUCGAGUCUCUGUAGUGCGUUCCAAAAUUUUAUUUCUUCUCCACACUGUAUUCUUUCUUGCUCGCCAUCGCCAUCCCCAAAUAGGAGGAUAUUUUUCUUCUUCUCGUUUGCUAAUUCCUUUUGUUGUAAUCUGUAUCUAUUUUUGUUUUUGUCGAGUAUGAGUAUUUGAUGAAAUAUGAUUUUUUCUUCUCCACAUAAAAGAUGAAUUUAAUAAACUUAGUUUGCUUAGAGAUAUUAAGUUUUAUUGCCGGAAGAACUUGAUGAUAUGCACUUUGAGUUUGAAAAUAAUCAAUGAAAAUGCAAUGAUACAAGCAAG